RNAcentral lists this ribosomal RNA (506 nucleotides) under uncultured bacterium. RNAcentral's name for it is "partial 16S ribosomal RNA". It matches the Rfam family "Bacterial small subunit ribosomal RNA", at positions 29 to 523 of the family's 1533-position model. The record is from RNAcentral.
AGUGAACGCUGGCGGUAGGCCUAACACAUGCAAGUCGAACGGCAGCACAGAGGAGCUUGCUCCUUGGGUGGCGAGUGGCGGACGGGUGAGGAAUACAUCGGAAUCUACUCUGUCGUGGGGGAUAACGUAGGGAAACUUACGCUAAUACCGCAUACGACCUACGGGUGAAAGCAGGGGACGUUCGGGCCUUGCGUGAUUGACUGAGCCGAUGUCGGAUUAGCUAGUUGGAGGGGUAAAGGCCCACCAAGGCGACGGUCCGUAGCUGGUCUGAGAGGAUGAUCAGCCACACUGGAACUGAGACACGGUCCAGACUCCUACGGGAGGCAGCAGUGGGGAAUAUUGGACAAUGGGCGCAAGCCUGAUCCAGCCAUACCGCGUGGGUGAAGAAGGCCUUCGGGUUGUAAAGCCCUUUUGUUGGGAAAGAAAUCCAGCUGGCUAAUACCCGGUUGGGAUGACGGUACCCAAAGAAUAAGCACCGGCUAACUUCGUGCCAGCCGCCGCCGUAA